UACGUAGGUGGCAAGCGUUGUCCGGAUUUACUGGGUAUAAAGGGCGUGUAGCCGGGCUGACAAGUCAGAUGUGAAAUCCGGGGGCUCAACCCCCGAACUGCAUUUGAAACUGUUGGUCUUGAGUAUCGGAGAGGCAGGCGGAAUUCCUAGUGUAGCGGUGAAAUGCGUAGAUAUUAGGAGGAACACCAGUGGCGAAGGCGGCCUGCUGGACGACAACUGACGGUGAGGCGCGAAAGCGUGGGGAGCAAACAGG
Molecule: ribosomal RNA, 253 nt
Filed under: uncultured bacterium
Lineage: Bacteria
Description: partial 16S ribosomal RNA
Rfam family: Bacterial small subunit ribosomal RNA
Source: RNAcentral